Molecule: ribosomal RNA, 471 nt
Filed under: uncultured Geobacillus sp.
Lineage: Bacteria; Bacillati; Bacillota; Bacilli; Caryophanales; Anoxybacillaceae
Description: bacterial SSU rRNA
Rfam family: Bacterial small subunit ribosomal RNA
Source: RNAcentral
GACGGGGCCCGCACAAGCGGUGGAGCAUGUGGUUUAAUUCGAAGCAACGCGAAGAACCUUACCAGGUCUUGACAUCCCCUGACAACCCAAGAGAUUGGGCGUUCCCCUUCGGGGGACAGGGUGACAGGUGGUGCAUGGUUGUCGUCAGCUCGUGUCGUGAGAUGUUGGGUUAAGUCCCGCAACGAGCGCAACCCUCGCCUCUAGUUGCCAGCAUUCGGUUGGGCACUCUAGAGGGACUGCCGGCGACAAGUCGGAGGAAGGUGGGGAUGACGUCAAAUCAUCAUGCCCCUUAUGACCUGGGCUACACACGUGCUACAAUGGGCGGUACAAAGGGCUGCGAACCCGCGAGGGGGAGCGAAUCCCAAAAAGCCGCUCUCAGUUCGGAUUGCAGGCUGCAACUCGCCUGCAUGAAGCCGGAAUCGCUAGUAAUCGCGGGUCAGCCACACCGCGGUGAAUACGUACUCGGGGCUU